This is a non-coding RNA of Pelobates cultripes (western spadefoot toad), 204 nucleotides long. NCBI's taxonomy places the organism in Eukaryota, Metazoa, Chordata, Amphibia, Anura, Pelobatidae. The record is from the annotation of a GenBank genome assembly.
CCUGAGGAGAGAAGUGUUCAAAGUGUUAGUGGUUUGAGAGCUGUAGUUCCCUGAGAUAGAUACAGAUAGGCUGGACUGACAGAAUUAGCCUCUCGCUGUAACUCCAUUAGCCCCUAUGUUAAUAUCGCCCGCAGAAUUAUUUGGGGGAGAUUCUUACACCACUUUCUUCCAGAUCCAUAAGGGAACCUUAGCCCAACUAACACA